RNAcentral lists this long non-coding RNA (492 nucleotides) under Rhinopithecus bieti (black snub-nosed monkey). RNAcentral's name for it is "lncRNA (ENSRBIG00000046717.1)". Lineage: Eukaryota; Metazoa; Chordata; Mammalia; Primates; Cercopithecidae. The record is from RNAcentral.
UCGAAGUAAAUGAUUUUCUGAAGGUCGGUCUCCCAGAAAGCAUUUGCUCUGGUUUUUUGUUUUGUUUUAUUUUCGUGUUUUCCCAGUUAGGGAAGGGAGAGGAGCCUGUGCAGAGUUGAACUGGGGUGGAGAGGUGCGUUGUAAAGUAUGGUUUCCAGAGACGGUGAGACCUCGUCGCUAAGCGUUGUUUCCUCUGCAUGUAACUUACAAGGAUGUCUGCGUGGAUAUCCCUGGACACUCGAUACCCCCCGGGGACCUGCUCUUCCCGCAGCUCCGCAGACGCGGCAGGAGGGCGCGCUGGCCCCGGCGCUGCUGGGACAGAGGUGGCAAAAGGAACAUGAUGGUUCCUGCACAUCCUGGCAUGCAAAUGAAAGGUGGUCUGUCACAGGUUCCCAAGCAGGAGUCCUGAGAUACACCUUGACUGGACCUGGGAUUGAGACGGGAGGAAAACGAAUGUUCACUGUAAGCUGGAACAUGCUGGAAGCUGUUUAA